AAAAUGUCCAAGUACACGUGUAUGUGAAAAGAAAAGGCGAAGAGAUAAAAAAAAACACUUCUCCACGUACUCACAUAUCGAGCACACGCAGCUCAUCUCAUUUAUACUAUAGUCUAGGGGGAUAACAACUAUAUACUUAUGCAUGUACGUAGAAGUUUAACUACUGUGUCGGUGUGUGUAUCUUAGUGUCAAUAUUGACUAGUUUCUAUUUUCUCUAUUUUCUUAUGUAUCCGGCUCCACCGGUUGUAAUUUCUGUGCUGGUUCGUGUUUUACAGUUUCUGCAAAGAAACAGUAAUGAACCUACACAUGCCCAGUAAGUCAAAUUUAAAUUAAAAACAGCGUGUUGAAAUAAAUAAAAUUCCUAGAACGGAGUUCUCCCUUCCCAUGGUCUCUCCCUCUCCUGCCAGCCCGUAUCUUCACUCUACUAGUGUUCUAGGUUUUACGGACCUUCCUCAAAAUCUUUAUGGACCCCAGCCCUCUACACUCUUCUUCUCUAUUUCCUCUUUUUGCUCAUUUCUACUAUGUCCUCACUUCCCUAUGCGAAUAGCCUUCUUUUCUUUUUGUUUCUACAGUCCACGUUUGGCUUAUAAUAAUCCUAAAAUCUUUCUUUUCAUUUUUAUUUUUCUUUUUCUUUUUCUUUUGCUAGAAACCAACACCCCCCCCCAAAUGCUCCCUGUUGUUCCCAGUCUUACCUUUCUCUCUUUGAAUUCACCUUAAACAGCAUAUUUCUUUUUCCACUCUGUAAUCUAUGGUUUGCUUAGAUAUUGUUCCUUCCAUUCUUUUGGGACCCAGAAUUUUCCACUUCCCUCCUAUGGUAUUUCCAUACUUAGUUUGCCUUCAACCUGUAGACACCAGCAAUAAAUAGAGUCAUAUUUAUCAUGGAGCAAUUACACUAUCUUGUUCUUCGCAUACCUGCCAUUUCUUGGCUCUUCCUCCUCUAUCCCCUCCAUCUCAUGUGUAUACCAUUUUAUGUUCAGUGCCAAACACCAUUUUAUUUUUCUAGACGACGGUUAUCCGGCCACACACACACCCUAUUAUAACAUUCUGCUUGGUAGACGAUUUGUCCCAGUCAAGAUUUAAACAGCAGCAGAUUAGAAAUCCGGUGUCGCGCAGCUUUUUACCAACCGUUGGCCAACAUUUAUUUUCAAUGUGCAAUACCAUAAGGCAGGGAGAAGAAACAUCAGAUGUUAUGACUGGAGGUGGUAAAAUAUUCAGCCAUUAUUUGGCCACUCACACAACCCGGUGUCAUACACAUUUCGACUAACCGUUGGCCAUUCUUUUAUUCAAUAAUUUUAAAUAAUUUAUGUCAAGGCAAUAACAUUAAAACAGUAAGAAAAUCAGCAAGUGGUAUGGCAAGAAGCCGACCCAUAAUAGGCCAUACACAUACUCAUAACUACCUGCACAGCACACUUUGUUCAUACAAUCAUUGUACCAAAUUUCGAGAACCACAUAUGAGCCAUUUCCAUUUUUACGCUCCGUCUAACCAUCAUUCAGUCCCAUUUUCUUUUAGAUUUGCCAAUACUUCAGUACGGG
Molecule: long non-coding RNA, 1533 nt
Filed under: Carica papaya (papaya)
Lineage: Eukaryota; Viridiplantae; Streptophyta; Magnoliopsida; Brassicales; Caricaceae
Description: long non-coding RNA (CPAP_LNC012140)
Source: RNAcentral